Molecule: ribosomal RNA, 450 nt
Filed under: uncultured bacterium
Lineage: Bacteria
Description: partial 16S ribosomal RNA
Rfam family: Bacterial small subunit ribosomal RNA
Source: RNAcentral
GUGGGGAAUAUUGGACAAUGGGCGCAAGCCUGAUCCAGCCAUGCCGCGUGUGUGAAGAAGGCCUUCGGGUUGUAAAGCACUUUUGUUGGGAAAGAAAUCCUGUCGGCUAAUACCCGGCGGGGAUGACGGUACCCAAAGAAUAAGCACCGGCUAACUUCGUGCCAGCAGCCGCGGUAAUACGAAGGGUGCAAGCGUUACUCGGAAUUACUGGGCGUAAAGCGUGCGUAGGUGGUUCGUUAAGUCAGAUGUGAAAGCCCCGGGCUCAACCUGGGAAUUGCAUUUGAUACUGGCGGACUAGAGUGCGGUAGAGGAGAGUGGAAUUCCCGGUGUAGCAGUGAAAUGCGUAGAGAUCGGGAGGAACAUCAGUUGCGAAGGCGGCUCUCUGGACCAGCACUGACACUGAGGCACGAAAGCGUGGGGAGCAAACAGGAUUAGAUACCCUGGUAGUCC